CGUGGGUAACCUACCUCAUAGUGGGGGAUAACAGUCGGAAACGACUGCUAAUACCGCAUAGGACAUGGAAUCACAUGAUUCUGUGAGGAAAGGUGGCGCAAGCUAUCGCUAAGAGAUGGACCCGCGGUGCAUUAGCUAGUUGGUAGGGUAAAGGCCUACCAAGGCGAUGACGCAUAGCCGACCUGAGAGGGUGAUCGGCCACAUUGGGACUGAGACACGGCCCAA
Molecule: ribosomal RNA, 225 nt
Filed under: uncultured bacterium
Lineage: Bacteria
Description: partial 16S ribosomal RNA
Rfam family: Bacterial small subunit ribosomal RNA
Source: RNAcentral